This 242-nucleotide ribosomal RNA is filed under the name uncultured bacterium. Its description in RNAcentral is "partial 16S ribosomal RNA". It matches the Rfam family "Bacterial small subunit ribosomal RNA", at positions 111 to 354 of the family's 1533-position model. The record is from RNAcentral.
UAACGCGUGAGGAACCUGCCUUCCAGAGGGGACAACAGUUGGAAACGACUGCUAAUACCGCAUGACACAUGACCGUGGCAUCACGGACAUGUCAAAGAUUUAUCGCUGGAAGAUGGCCUCGCGUCUGAUUAGCUAGUAGGCGGGGUAACGGCCCACCUAGGCGACGAUCAGUAGCCGGACUGAGAGGUCGACCGGCCACAUUGGGACUGAGAUACGGCCCAGACUCCUACGGAAGGCAGCAG